AUUGAACGCUGGCGGCAUGCCUUACACAUGCAAGUCGAACGGUAACAGGUCUUCGGAUGCUGACGAGUGGCGAACGGGUGAGUAAUACAUCGGAACGUGCCUAGUAGUGGGGGAUAACUACUCGAAAGAGUGGCUAAUACCGCAUGAGAUCUACGGAUGAAAGCAGGGGAUCGCAAGACCUUGUGCUACUAGAGCGGCCGAUGGCAGAUUAGGUAGUUGGUGGGAUAAAAGCUUACCAAGCCGACGAUCUGUAGCUGGUCUGAGAGGACGAUCAGUCACACUGGGACGGGGACACGGCCCAGACUCCGACGGGAGGCAGCAGUGGGGAAUUUUGGACAAUGGGCGCAAGCCUGAUCCAGCAAUGCCGCGUGCAGGAGGGAGGCCUUCGGGUUGUAAACUGCUUUUGUACAGAACGAAAAGCCCUGGGUUAAUACCCUGGAGUCAUGACGGUACCGUAAGAAUAAGCACCGGCUAACUACGUGCCAGCCGCCGCUGUAA
This 498-nucleotide ribosomal RNA is filed under the name uncultured bacterium. RNAcentral's name for it is "partial 16S ribosomal RNA". It matches the Rfam family "Bacterial small subunit ribosomal RNA", at positions 30 to 523 of the family's 1533-position model. The record is from RNAcentral.